AAAGACUUAGUCCCAACCUUACCGUUGGUUCCUGCUAGACGUAUACAUGCAAGUAUCCGCAUUCCAGUGUAAAUGCCCUAGGCACCCUUCAACCAAGUCGAUAGGAGCGGGUAUCAGGCACACACAUUUGUAGCCCAAGACGCCUUGCACUUGCCACACCCCCACGGGUACUCAGCAGUAGCUAACAUUAAGCAAUGAGUGUAAACUUGACUUAGUCAUAGCAGCCUUGAGAGUCGGUAAAUCCUGUGCCAGCCACCGCGGUCAUACAGGAGACUCAAAUCAACUUUGCAUAACGGCGUAAAGAGUGGUCACACGUUAUCCAAGUAACUAGAAUUAAAAAGCAACUGAGCCGUGACAAGCCCAAGAUGCUCAUAAGGCCAACUACCAAAGAAGAUUCUAGACUCAGCGAUCAACUGAAAUCCACGAAAGCCAGGGCCCAAACUGGGAUUAGAUACCCCACUAUGCCUGGCCCUAAAUAUUGAUACUCCACAUUACCUGAGUAUCCGCCCGAGAACUACGAGCACAAACGCUUAAAACUCUAAGGACUUGGCGGUGUCCCAAACCCACCUAGAGGAGCCUGUUCUGUAAUCGAUAAUCCACGAUACACCUAACCAUUCCUUGCAAAAUCAGCCUACAUACCGCCGUCGCCAGCCCACCUCCAUGAUGGAUCAACAGUGGACGCAAUAGUCUCUUUACACUAGUACGACAGGUCAAGGUAUAGCCUACGGAAUGGAAGCAAUGGGCUACAUUUUCUAGACUAGAACAUUACGGCAAAGGGGCUUGAAACAGCCCCUAGAAGGCGGAUUUAGCAGUAAAGUGGGACAAUCAAACCCUCUUUAAACCGGCUCUGGGACACGUACAUACCGCCCGUCACCCUCCUCAAAAGCGACCCAAACUUUAAAUACAUUAAUACGCUAUCAAGCUAAAGAUGAGGCAAGUCGUAACAAGGUAAGUGUACCGGAAGGUGCACUUAGACAAC
This 979-nucleotide non-coding RNA is filed under the name Eurocephalus anguitimens. Its description in RNAcentral is "partial 12S ribosomal RNA". It matches the Rfam family "Bacterial small subunit ribosomal RNA". The record is from RNAcentral. Lineage: Eukaryota; Metazoa; Chordata; Aves; Passeriformes; Laniidae.